GGUCAAGCGGGUGAAGGCGCACGGUGGAUGCCUUGGCAUCAAGGGCCGAAGAAGGGCGUAGUAAGGCUACGAUAAGCCCCGGUGAGCUGCCAAGCAAGCUUAGCCGAGGAUUCCCGAAUGGGGUAACCCGUCCUUCCUAAAGAAGGACACCCCCGGCUGAACACAUAGGCCGGGUGGAGGUAAGCAGGGGAAGUGAAACAUCUCAGUACCCUGAGGAAAAGAAAUUAUUCCCUGAGUAGUGGCGAACGAAAGGGGAAAAGCCUAAACUCUGUCAGCUUAGUGGUUUCAGGACCUAUGCUGGCAGAGGGUUGUAAGGCAGAUAGAGCCGAACCUGGAAUAGGCUGAGGAGUUAACAAUCGAACCCCAGUUGAAAGUUUCUGGAAAGGACUGCCACAGAGGGUAACAGCCCCGUAAGUGAAAGGGAGAGACUCCUUAUCUGUACUUGAGUACCACGGGACACGAGAAAUCUUGUGGGAAGCUACCCUGACCACAGGGUAAGGCUAAAUACCCUUGAUGACCGAUAGUGAACUAGUACCGUGAGGGAAAGGUGAAAAGCACCCCGAGAGGGGAGUGAAAGAGACCUGAAACCGUGUGCUGACAAGCAGUCAGAGCCCGAGGCAACUCGGGUGAUGGCGUGCCUAUUGAAGAAUGAGCCAGCGAGUUAAUCUGUGUGGCUGGUUAAGCGAUUCAGUCGCGAAGCCGAAGCGAAAGCGAGUCUGAACAGGGCGAUUUAGUGGCACAGAUUAGACCCGAAGCCGGGUGAGCUAUCCAUGGCCAGGGUGAAGCCCCGAUAAAAUUGGGGUGGAGGCCCGAACUCGUCAGCGUUGCAAAGCUGUGAGAUGAGCUGUGGAUAGGGGUGAUAUGCCAAACGAACCCGGGGAUAGCUGGUACUCCCCGAAAUGUAUAUAGGUACAGCCUCAGAAAUUAGCUAGUGGAGGUAGGGCUCUGGAUGGACUAGGGGGAUAAUAUCUUACCAACUCCAACCAAACCUCAAAUGCCAUUAGCCGUAAUCUGGGAGUGAGACUACGGGGGCUAAGCUCCGUGGUCGAGAGGGAAACAGCCCAGACCAUCAGAUAAGGUCCCUAAUAACGGACUAAGUGGUAAAGGAAGUAGUGUCGCAGAGACAGCCAGGAGGUUGGCUUAGAAGCAGCCAUCCUUGAAAGAGUGCGUAACAGCUCACUGGUUAAGGGGUGUUGCACCGAAAAUCCAACGGGGCUCAAGUCCGUCACCGAAGCUAUGGCUCUCCUUCUUUGAAGGGGAGGGUAGGGGAGCGUUCCCUUAACCAUGAAGCUGCUACGAAAGUAGUGGUGGAGUUAAGGGAAGUGAGAAUGCUGGCAUGAGUAGCGCAAGGUGUGUGAGAAACACACCCACCGAAGACCUAAGGUUUCCUACGCAAGGUUAAUCCGCGUAGGGUUAGUCGGGCCUAAGUCGAGGCCGAAAGGCGUAGACGAUGGACAACGGGUUAUUAUUCCCGUACCGCUUUUAUUGAGGUAAAGGGGAACGCGGAAGGGCGAACCAGGCAUACCCAAUGGACAUGGUGUGUUCCUUACCUGAGGUGAAGCCGGGGCAGGCAAAUCCACUCCGGAUAUUAUAGCUGAGGGUAAGGGGAAGUUGAGGGGAAACCCGAUGCGACCUGGAUGAACCCAGGCCGCCUAGAAAAACCUCGUUACCGGUGAAGUAAGAGCGUCCGUACUGCAAACCGACUCUGGUAGGUAGGGAUAAAAGUCCCAAGGUGAUCGAGAUAACCCUCGUUAAGGAACUCGGCAAUCUAACCCCGUAACUUAGGGAAAAGGGGUGCCCUCUUUGUGAGGGUGACAUUAAAUUGGCCCAAGUGACUGUUUAACUAAAACACAGGUUUCUGCUAAAGCGUAAGCUGAAGUAUAGGAGCUGAGACCUGCCCAGUGCUGGUAGGUUCAGGGGAGGAGUUAGCGCAAGCGAAGCCCUGAACUGAAGCCCCAGUGAACGGCGGCCGUAACUAUAACGGUCCUAAGGUAGCGAAGUCCCUUGUCGGGUAAGUUCCGACCCGCACGAAUGGUGUAACAACUUGGGCGCUGUCUCAACGAGGGGCUCGGCGAAAUUGAAAUACCCGUGAAGAUGCGGGUUACCCGCGACAGGACAAAAAGACCCCGUGGAGCUUUACUACAACUUGGCACUGAGUCUGGGCUUAUCACGUGUAGAAUAGGUGGGAGGCUGAGAAGCCGGGGCGCCAGCCCUGGUGGAGCCGCCGUUGAAAUACCACUCUUGAUGAGUUUAGUCUCUAACCCUGGAGCAAGCCAGGGGACAGUGUCUGGCGGGUAGUUUGACUGGGGAGGUCGCCUCCUAAAAGGUAACGGAGGCGCCCAAAGGUCUCCUCAGAGUGAAUGGAAAUCACUCGUAGAGUGCAUUGGCAUAAGGAGGCUUGACUGUGAGACCAACAAGUCGAGCAGGGACGAAAGUCGGGCAAAGUGAUCCCACGGUACCGUGUGGAAGGGCCGUGGCUUAACGGAUAAAAGCUACCCCGGGGAUAACAGGCUUAUCUUGCCCAAGAGUUCAUAUCGACGGCAAGGUUUGGCACCUCGAUGUCGGCUCGUCCCAUCCUGGGGCUGAAGCAGGUCCCAAGGGUCCGGCUGUUCGCCGGUUAAAGGGGCACGCGAGCUGGGUUCAGACCGUCGUGAGACAGGUCGGUCUCUAUCCGUCGUGGGCGUCCGGAGAUUUGAGGGGAGCUCUCUCUAGUACGAGAGGAUUGAGAGGGACAGACCUCUGGUGUUCCAGUUGUCCCGCCAGGGGCAUGGCUGGGUAGCUAACGUCUGGUGUGGAUAAGCGCUGAAAGCAUCUAAGUGCGAAGCCCACCCCAAGAUUAGAUCUCCCAUCCUUCUUCGGAAGGAGUAAGACCGCAGAUAGACUAUCUGUUUGAUAGGCGGUGUGUGUAAGUGCAGUAAUGCAUUUAGCUAAACCGUACUAAUGGUCGAGGGCUUGACCUG
RNAcentral lists this ribosomal RNA (2960 nucleotides) under Dehalococcoidales bacterium. Its description in RNAcentral is "23S ribosomal RNA". It matches the Rfam family "Bacterial large subunit ribosomal RNA". Lineage: Bacteria; Bacillati; Chloroflexota; Dehalococcoidia; Dehalococcoidales. The record is from RNAcentral.